This is a transfer RNA of Camelus ferus (Wild Bactrian camel), 74 nucleotides long. It matches the Rfam family "tRNA". Rfam says of the family: Transfer RNA (tRNA) molecules are approximately 80 nucleotides in length. Their secondary structure includes four short double-helical elements and three loops (D, anti-codon, and T loops). Further hydrogen bonds mediate the characteristic L-shaped molecular structure. tRNAs have two regions of fundamental functional importance: the anti-codon, which is responsible for specific mRNA codon recognition, and the 3' end, to which the tRNAs corresponding amino acid is attached (by aminoacyl-tRNA synthetases). tRNAs cope with the degeneracy of the genetic code in two manners: having more than one tRNA (with a specific anti-codon) for a particular amino acid; and 'wobble' base-pairing, i.e. permitting non-standard base-pairing at the 3rd anti-codon position. Lineage: Eukaryota; Metazoa; Chordata; Mammalia; Artiodactyla; Camelidae. The record is from Rfam.
GGUGGUGUACAGCUCAGUGGUAGAGCACAUGCUUGGCAUGCACAGGGUCCUGGGUUCAAUCCCCAGUGCCUCUG